CGGACUGGUGACUUUCUAAAAGAAAACAAGGUUUUCAGUAGAGUUUCUAGGAAUCUAGAGAACAAUGGCAAUACUAUCAAUGGUGAGUUAGGAUUAGAGUUUACCUGACAUCUUCGGUCAAAUCCUCUGCCGAUUCAUAGGUAGCUAACCGGAGAUAGAUUGUCUAGUCGAGAACAACACGCGCAAUGAAUUAGGAACACCGUGGCAUAAUUUGGGAAGACGAUGUUAGUGUUUGUACUUACGCAAAUGAGGAACUAUACAAACAAAUAAAACUUGAAUGUAAAGCUUUUGGCAUGGUAGAAAAGAGCAGUGUACCAGUAGAAGACCAACGACA
This 334-nucleotide long non-coding RNA is filed under the name Linum usitatissimum (flax). RNAcentral describes it as "long non-coding RNA (LUSI_LNC001184)". The record is from RNAcentral. Lineage: Eukaryota; Viridiplantae; Streptophyta; Magnoliopsida; Malpighiales; Linaceae.